Molecule: ribosomal RNA, 446 nt
Filed under: uncultured bacterium
Lineage: Bacteria
Description: bacterial SSU rRNA
Rfam family: Bacterial small subunit ribosomal RNA
Source: RNAcentral
GACGAACGCUGGCGGCGUGCUUAACACAUGCAAGUCGAACGAUGAAAGCGGGAGCUUGCUCCUGCUGGAUUAGUGGCGAACGGGUGAGUAACACGUGAGCAAUCUGCCCCGAACUCUGGGAUAAGCGUUGGAAACGACGUCUAAUACCGGAUACGACGCGCGAAGGCAUCUUCUGCGCGUGGAAAGAAUUUCGGUUCGGGAUGAGCUCGCGGCCUAUCAGCUAGUUGGUGAGGUAAUGGCUCACCAAGGCGACGACGGGUAGCCGGCCUGAGAGGGUGACCGGCCACACUGGGACUGAGACACGGCCCAGACUCCUACGGGAGGCAGCAGUGGAGAAUAUUGCACAAUGGGCGCAAGCCUGAUGCAGCAACGCCGCGUGAAGGACGACGGCCUUCGGUUGUAACCGUACUUUAGUUAGGGAAGAAGCGAAAGUAGACGGUACCGUG